Molecule: ribosomal RNA, 765 nt
Filed under: uncultured Streptococcus sp.
Lineage: Bacteria; Bacillati; Bacillota; Bacilli; Lactobacillales; Streptococcaceae
Description: bacterial SSU rRNA
Rfam family: Bacterial small subunit ribosomal RNA
Source: RNAcentral
GACGAACGCUGGCGGCGUGCCUAAUACAUGCAAGUAGAACGCUGAGGUUUGGUGUUUACACUAGACUGAUGAGUUGCGAACGGGUGAGUAACGCGUAGGUAACCUGCCUCAUAGCGGGGGAUAACUAUUGGAAACGAUAGCUAAUACCGCAUAAGAGUAAUUAACACAUGUUGGUUAUUUAAAAGGAGCAAUUGCUUCACUGUGAGAUGGACCUGCGUUGUAUUAGCUAGUUGGUGAGGUAAAGGCUCACCAAGGCGACGAUACAUAGCCGACCUGAGAGGGUGAUCGGCCACACUGGGACUGAGACACGGCCCAGACUCCUACGGGAGGCAGCAGUAGGGAAUCUUCGGCAAUGGACGGAAGUCUGACCGAGCAACGCCGCGUGAGUGAAGAAGGUUUUCGGAUCGUAAAGCUCUGUUGUUAGAGAAGAACGUUGGUAGGAGUGGAAAAUCUACCAAGUGACGGUAACUAACCAGAAAGGGACGGCUAACUACGUGCCAGCAGCCGCGGUAAUACGUAGGUCCCGAGCGUUGUCCGGAUUUAUUGGGCGUAAAGCGAGCGCAGGCGGUUCUUUAAGUCUGAAGUUAAAGGCAGUGGCUUAACCAUUGUACGCUUUGGAAACUGGAGGACUUGAGUGCAGAAGGGGAGAGUGGAAUUCCAUGUGUAGCGGUGAAAUGCGUAGAUAUAUGGAGGAACACCGGUGGCGAAAGCGGCUCUCUGGUCUGUAACUGACGCUGAGGCUCGAAAGCGUGGGGAGCAAACAGG